Long non-coding RNA from Dermochelys coriacea (leatherback sea turtle), 3796 nucleotides. RefSeq lists it as uncharacterized. The transcript has 5 exons. Lineage: Eukaryota; Metazoa; Chordata; Testudines; Dermochelyidae. The record is from RefSeq and is a predicted model, not a curated record.
CCGCCAUUUGAGAGCAGGGGCAGCGAAGGACUUCGGCUCUGUGUGCGGAGUGGGGUCUGACAGCGGCCCCUCUUCUGUGACAAUCAGUGCGGCCAUGCGCCUUGCCCGGCCGCCCCUGCGCUUCCUGGGGGCUGGGACUCGCCCUUCUCCUCCGGGAGCAGCUGCGGCAGGAUCCCUUUACUCACAGCUGGCUGCCCUGCCUCGCUUCUUUCUGCUCCCUCCGCUUCAGCCUCUUCUGGGAAGCAGGGGCUUUGGCUACUUGCAGGGCGGAGAGGCGAGCUCGGCUUGCCUGCAGGAGCUCUCUGCUCUUCCCCGGGGGGAAGUAGCCUGUCAGUGGGGUGUCAUACCCGCCCCUGUAGCUGCAGUUUUGGAUAUAGCUGGUGCCGCUUCUGUCAGCGUGAGAGACUAGCUUCCCCUAGCGAGGCUGGGUGCUGCACGUUCCCUUGCGGCGACCUAUUUGUGGAUGUGUCUGUGCUCAAUUUUGUCUGCAGCCCCCGUAGCAGCAACAUGCAGGAAAACCACCCUCUCAACAGUGUAGCGGCAUCAUCGACCUACUGAGGAGGACGCAGUGCCUGUGUAGCCACUGCAGGACCUGGGUUGACCCUCCCAGUCUUCCAGCAGCUGUCCCACACUGCCCCAUUCCAUGACCCUGACUGUGCUAGUCACAAUUUUAAACUCCACUGCUCAAGGCUCACCGACCAGAAACCACCCUCCUGCCUUUACAAGGGGGGAAAAGGAUAGUUCAGUGGUUUGAACAUUGGCCCUCUAAAUCCAGGGUUGUGAGUUCAAUCGUUGAGGGGGCCACUUAGGGAUCUGGGGCAAAAAUUGGGGAUUGGUCCUGCUUUGGGCAGGGGGUUGGACUAGAUGACCUCCUGCCAUCCCUUCCAACCCUGAUAUUCUAUGAUCCCCUGUGCUUUUGAAAUGCCUUUUCCUGAUUGCCCACCUUGGCAAGCAUACCUAGCAGCAAGGGAUGAAAGUAACAUAAAACUCUUACCCAUAUGGGGCCUGGCUCUGGCACCCCAGAAGAGGCGGAGCUGGGGGUCAGCCUCCAUCAGACAACCCUUCUGCGCCGCCCAGGGCUCCAGCUAUUGCCAUGGGAGCCCCGGGCCCUUUUAAAUCACCAGGCCCCGGAGAGCUUCCCCUUCCCCCCAACACCUUUGGCAGCCCUCCCAGGAAAGUCCUUAAAGCGCUGCUGCAGCAACACUUUAACGUUGGCUGUGUACGGGCCCAUACUGGUGGCAACUUCUUACCAGUACACCAUACUGGCCCACUUUCACCUCUGCUAGCAGCUCACCCUUGUUGUGUGCAACCGCCCAGACGACCAUGGCAGCUCCGCGCACUAGUUGUGCUCCUGCCUGGAUCAGACAGGAACUAAUGGUUCUGUGCGUUCACAGCUACAGGCCACCUGUAGAAACAGACAUUUUACACAUGAGCAGAUUACACAGGCAAAGGGGUAUGACAGGAAUCAGGAGCAGUGCAGUGUGAAAGCAAAGGCACUGCAUCAGGGAAACCACAAGGUGAGGGAGCACAACAGUAGAUCUGGGUGCUUCACAGACUUUCUGUUUCUGCAAGGAGCUACAUGCCAUGCUUUGCAGAGACCCCACCAGCACACUUCAGACCACUGUGGAUGCCUGAAGGACCCUGAGACAGAGAUCCCUGCCUUGAACAGUGGGGAGAAGGAAGAGGAAGAAGUGGUAGAUUCCAAUCAUGGAAGCCAGGAGCUAUUUGGGACUGCCACAGUCUAGGCAGUGUCACCAGGCAAAUGCAGAUGAGCCUGAUGAAGGCGCAGGGAACUCGGCAAACUGUCUGCGAAGAAAUCUACAUGUUCCCCAUUGUUGCAGUACUUCCUGUGAGUCUGUAAAUACAGGAGAAUCAUGCAUCCUGUAUUUGCAACAUUCAUGAGAACAACAUAGAAAUCUGCAGGCUCCAUGCUCCUGUUGGAGAUAGGAGACAAUGAAAAGUCCUAUACAGAUUGCAUGCAUGUUUAAUGCACAGAAAUGGAACAUCCUAAAUAUUAAGCUACUAUCAAGGCAGCAAGCUUGAUUUUUCUAGAAUGGAAAAAAAAAUGGAAUAAGCUGUUUACAUUGGUUCAUCCCAAAAUGUCCUGGAGACUGAGAAACUGAGGCAAACAAGAUAAGAGACACAGGAACUAAGUCUGAGCUGGGAAGAGAAUUCUAAUCAGAGUGAUACAUCAGCUCUAGAACUAGUCACCAAGCUCUGUCUUUCUACUUCCAAGAGGUUUUUCCGGCCCACAUCUAUUGUUCAGCAUAGCUUUAGUUUAUCUGAAUGACAACCUCCCUGGUAUGCAGAAUGUCAAUCCCUUUAAAGGCACAGGCAGGUAUCUGAAAGGUAAGAGACUAGAUACGUUCUGCAUAUGUGGAUAUGAUAUGUCUUUUCCAGAGCUAUUAUCUAUGAUUCAUUACAUUACCUAAAUACUUUCAGCUAUUUUCAGACUGGACCUAAAUUCCAGGUUACACCUCCUCCUUAGGCUUUUUACAUAAGGAUAACUUGGCUUUUGCACAUAUGGUAAAACAAGCUGAACUGCUUUGCAUAUUUUUUGUUUCUUCAGCCAGUCUAUCUAACAAGGCCAAGUGCAUACUGUUGACUUAGGUGCUGCACUGCACAAGCUACAUUUUACAUUAGUCCCAUGUCUUCAUGGCCUAGAAGAGGAACUUUGCAGUGGAAGCACUGUGGAAUAAUCAAGUGAGAUAGGCACUGCACACAGAGGUGUGGGGGAACCUACCAAACUAAAAGCAAAAUUCUCUUUUCAAUUCUCCCAAAGGUGGAGAUACAAAGUACACAAAUCAGGAAACUCUCAAACACAAGGUUGCUCUGCCACGUUGUGCAUCAUGCAUAUUUUACAGUAUACCCUAAGAGCAAACAAUAAUAAUUGAGGUUUGCAUCACAAAGAGAAAUAUGUGCACCAGAGCCAAGUUCAUGUGGCAACAACCUCAACUCUGGAAUUGCCCCCCUUUUUAGUGAUCAAUCUUAGUGUUCCAUUUUAACAUGCCUUUAGAAGAAAAUCUAGAGUGCUCCCAAUGAGGGAGUUUAUGCAUCACCUUGAAGGUGGAGUUUUUGAUUUAAAAGGCCAGAUUCUGUCCUGUGCAAAUCUGCUCAGUGCAACACUGGGGUGGUUGUCUGGGAGCUGGCUGUGAUGCUGGCAGACCAGGUGCCAGCUCAUGCCAGAGCCCCAGGCCAAUUCACUUGUGUAUUCAUAUAGAUCAAAGCAAUUGUUAAAUGUAUAAGAGUGUAUUUGGUGUUUAAACUUAAUGAAAACUAAUGGAAAGCUGCUUGCAUUGUUUUCACUUUAUGUAUCCUGUUAUAAUGCAAUAGCAAACAUUUACAUUGUUUAUACCCCUGUAACUAAAUAACCCAUCAAAUGUGAAAGAAGCAUUGUGGAAUGCAAAGUAGAACUUUAACAAAAAAGUGCUUAUUUCAAAGCAAGUGGCCAUUGUGUGUGAUGACUGGAGGUCAAGGACUCUAAGUGCAUUCCUCACUCACUGUCAUCAAAGGAAAAGUCCAUGUGGAUAAUAUCACUGUCCACUUGUUUUCUGUGAGAAGAAGCUACAAGUACGGAUUCAAGAAAAGAUCCUUCAUCUCUGGACUGCUUGCACUCUUGAAGGGAAACGUACCAGAAGCAAAGAGGAGAUCCCAAGAGACAAUCUGGGUAUCCUGAAAAGACUUCUGGGAAAUUGGCAGUUUAUUACAUCACUGCCACCAUUCUGAAUUAUGAACUGUGACUCACCUGUGCAUAUAUUUUACCUGCUUUAACCUCUCAGUAACUCUCAUUUUCUUU